AUGCCCUGGUCGUGUGGGGAGCGGUGGGACCCUCCAGGGGUGGCGGACGGUUGGCGAGGGGAGAGGGAAAGGAGCGGAGAGGGGUAUUCUCACACGGCAGGGGUUAGUGAUCCUUAUGACAAGUAUCUUCACGGGCGUCAGUUUAAAAAGACACUCACAAAAUCUCAGUAUCUAAAGUUCAGUCCUAUCUUUCGUAUCUGCUCUUCCCUUUAGCUAAUUGCACCUGCCCCUGAAAAUGAAGGAUCCACGAUCCACAAAACACGAUCAGGAGUUUUGUUGUGGGGAAAGCGUAGGACACCGAGAGCUCGUCAGAGCGCUCAGCCUCCUUACGUCUGCUCUUGUCUCACUAGCUGCCGGCAGGUGUCGGGGAUGGCGAUUCCACGGGCCUUUCCCUCCUGGAGCAUCAGCUUCCCCUGAGCAGCUGCCCGAGAAACUGCGUGCAUAGCAAUUGAGAGAUACAGUCAAAAGGACCAGGACAAUGAAAAAGAGCAGGAAAUAUGGACACCAGGUAAUAUAUGAGGUUAUCAAAGGCUAAUUUUCUAUGACCCUGUGAAAUGUUCUGCUCUUAACUGUUUGAUUCACUAUUUUUCAAAGAAUAAAAAGUAUGAAAUCCUUACCAAGUCAUGUAUUCCUUCCAACCCUGUAUUGUUGAGAGGUAUUGUUCUUUGCAUGAUUUCAGAUCAAGGUAAGUAUUGUUUUGUCAAAAAAAAAAAAAAAAAAAAAAAGGGAAAUAUUCUGAUUUUAUUUAUUUACUCAGUUGUAGCCACUGAUUUCCAGCACAAAUGCAAACUUAAGUACUCACUCUUGCUCUCCUUUUUCCUUACUCGCUGCACAGAUAACAGUUUUGAACUGGGAGCAAACACUGAUGGUACUAAAAAUACCACAACCUGAUGUCUGUCAUGGGCAGCUGUAUUUUAUAAUAUUAGCCUUCCCCAACCAUAUCUUUAUAGCUCACUACUGCAAAAUUCAUUACACGGUAGUUUAGUAAGUUGAAGAGCUCAUGGGCCACUGGAAUGGUUGAACUUUGUCUCCUUGAGAUAGAAGCCAGUUGUCAUUAUGUGGGUGAAAUGGCAAUGCUGACUCCUGUCCUCAAUUUAAAUUACAGCUAGAAUUCCUGUUAUGCUAAAACGUUUUGGCAUACAUAUAAAUAAGAUCAAGCACAGACGGGGUCCCUUCCUUUCCCUGGUGGCAGGGGAAGGAUUACUGCUGUAAAUCAUCAUUUCUCUAUACUAAAGCUAUUUUCUGUACAAAUUGGAGAAGACUCCCAAGAGAGAUGAAACCAAAGAAGGCAAACAAAAACGGUAUGUUAUAUAUUUUUAAGAAGCAAAUAUUACAUAGUAGUUGACAGAUAAAAGCCAUACCUGGAGGUGGUUAGAGGAAAAAUAUGCUAGAAAUGUUCAUCAGUCUAUAUAAUUAAGGGGUUUUGGCAGAUUUUUUUCUAAAUAUUUUAUUAGUGUGCCUGUCUUUUGUGGGUUUUGCUUUGCUUCUGUAGCAUGUUUUAACUUACUGGAACAGAUUUAUCUUCCUUUUUUCUGCCUUUUGUAUUGAUGCACCAUAUUAACAUACAAGAUAUGUAACAGUGAAAAAUUUAAAAAAAACCUACAAAUCUUUUUGUUUUGAAAACUCAUAUCAUUAAUCAGCACUCAUCUUUCUACUCAAUAGUAACUGGCUGUUCAGAUUUCCUUUAUAUUUUGGGUUUCUCAAUUUUCUUGUUUAUGAUUCGGUUAAGUUUUGCAUUUUUUUAAGCCUUUCAUAUGUCAUUUAAUGUAGAUUAUUUUCUGUUUUCCCUGGUUUUACUUUUUUGUUUCUUUUCAGCUUUCUUCUGCAGACUUGUGAACCAGAUCCUUCAAAAGCAGUUGGAGGUGGUAUUGGUAGUUCUUACAGGAAAACAGAUUUUUAUUACACAGCAUCAUUUGUUUUUCAGAGUGUUUCCUAGUGUGCAUGACUUAAUUUAAGUUCUCUGUAGAAGUCUGUUGUUCAGAUUAUGUGAAAUAACACUUGGCCUCCUGUGUUUAGCUGUCUGUUUAUAUAUAAUUGCUUGCCUUCUUGUUCUUCGUCUCCAAGUCCCUCAUGUGUCAUUUUUCAGUUGACAGAUAAAAUGGAAAAAGGAAUGGGAACGUGUGUAGUCACAGAGACUGGAUCAGCUGGAAUCUUUGCUCCUUUUUAGAGCAUCUUUGAAAAGCAUGGUACUGACGGUAGACUGUAAGAUUCAACUGAAAACAAAAUAUUUAUUUGCAAAUUCUCCAAAGGUGGCACCAGAAUAUACCUGGGGUUUUAUUCCAAAAGAAGAAACCACGGACUUUUAUAAGCCUAUGCACAAUAGUUGUCUCGCCAAGAUCCAAUGAAAUAAUAAAUGAAAAUUAUUAUUCCUUCUUAAAAUAAGGUAAUGAUUAUCAUAAAAAGAGAAUCACUGCUCACUGGGGGAAUUAAUACCAGUUUUUCUACUGGCUCUUAAAAGUACAUUCUGCUACAUGUUAUAGUGGCAAAUAUCAGCUGACCAUCAGAAUUUGAUUGGAUUAAAAAAUAGGUUCCCCUAAAAGCAAAACCUAUGUGGGAUUAAGGGUUUUUUGUGGACUCGUGAUGAUGCAUUUAGGGUUUUUUUUGUGGAGUCCUGAUGAUACAGUUAUGAGUCAGGAAGUUUGUACAUAGCAGAUCAGUGACCCAUUAGAGCUCCUGGUAUGUAUCUUUGUUGUAUUUUGAGGACAGGUAACUUAGGUGACACUUUAACCACGGUGGAACAAAGGUGAACAAAUAACAGAAUUUGCACAGAAAUUCAAACCAGGUUCCUACCGUUCUCACUUUGUAGCUUGCAGGAGUGGUUUUGGAAUCAGUACAGUUCCAUGCACAGCGACAGCUUUACGUUUACACACCUCCCCUCCCUCUUUCUGGUUUCCCUGAAUAUUUUAAUGGAAGACCUGAUCACCUGCCUUCUCAGUGGCAAAACUUUGGAUAGAAUUCCGCAUCUCUCUCACACUGACCCUGGGCUGUGAAAUGCCAUAUCCUAGAUACCAGCAGUGCCUGCUGAAAAAAUAAAAUAAAUACAUAAAUAAAUAAAUAUGUCAUCUGGGUUCAGUUGACAUUGUAGGCCAGCCAUAUGCAUAUGUAUAUAGCACUCAGACAUAUGCAUUUUAGCCCAAGUACUGCGAGACCAGGUAUUUGGGAAUCAAAUUAGAUUAGACUGUAUUCCAUUGCACCUCUAAGGUAUAUAAUGUAGGGAGCUAUUUUCCUUGAAGUGCUAACAAUGGGUCAGUGUCUCUUAAUUUUAUAAGGGCCAAAGAUGCCCAGUUUUUAGAGACAAGUCUCACAUGUUUGCUCUAUAUGCAUUAUUUGUAAAAGCUUGCAGGAGUUUGUGCAGGGAUGAUUAAUUCUGAAUUGCACUUUCCACUUGUUUUCCUUAAAAGCCUACUUCAUUCUGGAUGUGUUUGCUUUGAUGCUAAAAAUUCAUAUUUUUACAAAACAGCUUGUCUUCCCUCAGCUCUUUGCAGUGCUUUAGUCAUAUAAUUCUUUCCUAGGCAAAACACUGGAAUAAACUCAAUGUUAUUUAUGACAAAUGCUUUUGACAAAAUACAGUUGUUUUCUCAGCAGUUCUCAGUAUUAUGCUUCCUUGAGUAUUAGGCUGAUAUUUGGGCAACUUUGGUUUAGGGUGCUUCCAUCCAGGUAACUCUUACAUGGGUAUAUGGAAUGCUAUUUUUGACCUUUGCUCCACCAUGUAGUUAAUCAGGGAGUGACAAUAAAGAUUAUGUUCAUGAAUCAGGGGACUAAGGAAAAAUACACAACACAGAGUCAUUAGAUGAGAGCCAGCUGUCAUCUAAAAGCCAUGCAGCUAUUGUAAUCAUGCCUUUUGUUAGGGCCAAUGAACUUCUGCCAUUUUUUUACAUCUACUUGUCUGAAGCACCCACCUGUCAUUAAUGUCUUGUAUAAAUUAGUAAGUGAGUUUUUAUCUUUUCAAGAUGAUGAAAUGUGAGAUUUUGUUCUAGUUUCUUAACAUAUUUUAAGUAUAUAGGUGACUAGGAUUUUGUGAAGCUGAAUGUUGUACUUCAGCCCAGCCUUUCGUCAACUACUUGUUCAAACUGAAUUUCAGACUGGCCUUCUAGGCAUCUCUUACCUAAAUCAGGCAUUUACAUCUCUAUGAAUGAUGUACCUCAAAGUCCAAGGUAAUUUUAAUACAGAAAGUAUGGGAUUUCCCUGGCAUAUUCAGGAUGUAUUUGCUCUUAACUAAAACAAGAGAAUUCAUCUUUUUCACAUUAAAAAAAAUAACAGUGAUAUAUUUUAUUUCACCAGGUGCAAAAACAAAAAAGGCAAAAAUCUCUGAUCCUAAAAGUAAUCUGGUUGUGAUUAAAAAAAUUGAGGUAAGAUGUGGCAUAUGAUGUGCAUUAUAUUUCUAAAUUUUACAGUAGAAAUUGAAGGAAAAUGAAAGCUAGUAUGUUUCUUGGUACAAAUGAAAUAACCAGCACAGCCUGUUUCUGGUCUUGUCUUGUUACUCUGACAGACAACUGUUCUGCAGCGUGGUGGUGUGAGGGUUAGGGUAAGGAUAGAGCCUGGCUGUGGAGAAAUGACUUUCUUUGCUCUUGUUUGUACCUGAACGCAACAACCAGUUGGUCUUCACUGGGUAGCAACACAGUGUAAUGUGAACAGUAGAGCUACUAUUGGAGCUUACAGGAGGAGGAAUGUGUGCCAGUGCUUUUAAAUCUGUUGCUGUUUCACCAAUCUACUGAUGUUGGAACUUAAACAAUUUAGUAAGUUGAGAAGGAAGAAACAUAGAGAAACUUAGGAAGUGACCUCUGUUUUGUAGGCAAUUACUCACCAUAUCUCAGUGGGAACCUUAAAGGUGAAACAGCUUUGCAUUUUUUCUCCUGGUGAUCUACCAGUUGUUUGAUGAAAUUAUUACAUACAGUAUAUCGUAUUGCUUUAUCAAGUAUGACAUGGCCUUCUGUCAACUGUUCUAACAGUGCAUAGUAAAGAGAAAUCAUCAUCUCAGUUUAUUACACAAGACAUACUUUUUUACGGCUGAUGCUAGACCUAGUAAGUCCUUAUUAAGUUCUUGUGCUUUACAUAGUUUUGGUUUAAAUAUUGACAGACAUUUGCACAGCACUGUUACACAAAGUGUCUUGCUGUUAACUGCAGCUUAACUCUUCGGCAGUAUGGAGGAUAUGCUGUUUCUGUAACGUGGGAUUACCUUGUAAAGAGAUUGCCUUGUGACAGGAGCUAGAAAAGAAGGAUGAGGAAGAAGAAAAAUCCAAAGAUGAGAAAGAUGGAACAGAAGACAAAGAAGGUGAAGAUGAUGAAGCAGAAGAACCAGAGGAAUAUGAUGAAGAAGAGUAUGAAGAAGUAUAAUGUUAGUUUUCCUAUUUACAGAGUCAGAUCCUGGUCAUUGAUAAGUGUUGGCUGACAAACGUCCCUAGCUCCCAAUAAGGGAGAAUUGUUGUGGGAGAAAUUAUUACACUCAUGAUUUUUGUUGCACUACAUUGUAUUGUAAAUUUAAGUGUGUGUUCUAGACUUGUUACUCACAAAGAGCUCUGAAAAAAAGAUAAAGAACACAAGAAUGUGUUCUGACACAAUCAAUAUAUACUCCUUUGCAGCACUAAAAGUGCUGCCUCUUCUUUUAUAUAUAUCAGAACUUCAUUACAGGAUUUUCCUUCUUCAUUUCCAAGAAUCUAUUACUAUUUUAAAGUGUGGAUGCUCAAGUGCAGUUUAAAUCAUGUUUCUUCUAUAAAUUGUCUUCUCCAGAAUUGCAGUGAUUUUUUUUCCAUUGGUUUAAGAAAAUGACUACAUUUCUUCCUAUUUUGAAGACGGAGAUGACUUUGGAGCUGUCAGUGAUGACAAUAUGGAUGAAGCAACAUACUAACUGUUAUUUCUACAUGUUACACUGCUCAAACCUUAUGCUACUACUACAGAAGCAGAAUUCUGGAGGUAGACUGGGUAUCAAUACACCUAAUGCUUUAGCUCUGUUGGUUUUAAGCAGACUCUCCAAAACCACACUGGAGUUUAAUUGUACUGUGCUGUAAAAGAGGAUAGGGAAUCCUUUGUUAAGUUCUUUAGCCAAGUGUUUUGCAGACAUGCCUUUUUAAGGCAUUCUGGAAUGGCAGCUGAUGGAGUAAGCUUUAUGCCAUUGUGUUUCCUCUGCACAGAAAAAGAACAUACGCAUUUUACUUGAAAUUGUGUCUCAAUUUGCACUAGUCAAUUCUGUGCCUCAACAGUCAACUCUUGAAACAAAUAAUGAAAUUCUUGAUGACCAGAGUAAAAAAAAGACAUAUGGCCUUUAUGGACAUAAGCUGCUCAUUGGCAGUUGACUCCUCUGAAGAACUGUAUGUAACUUCUGAGUUCAGGUGACUGAAAAUAAUUGACAACUCUGCACUUUAACAUAAACUGACUUGGAAGGACCUUAGUAAUGUAGACAAACAACAUGACAGUAAUUUGAAGAACCGUUAGUCUAGUUAGAACACAUUGCCUUUAGUAUUUUGGUAAAAAGGAACACACAAAAAUAUAUUACUUUUAUGAAUCAGCAUAAAUCAUAAUUAAGGAUAACUUGGCUUAGAAAGACUAUAUGGCAGAAUUUAAGAAAUUAUGGAAUCCUGGUUUACACCAGUACACUCAUUAGUGAUGAAAAUUUCAGCCCUUAGCUUCAGUUUCUCCACUUGUUAGGGCAAUACUUUCUUAUCUCACAGAGCUGUUAAGUGAGCUGGCAGAUGAUCGUUAUCUAUGCAAUUGUUGAUGUACUUGUUUACUUUUCUACAGAACAAACUAGACAGAAACAGACAACCAAUCAGUAAGAAAUAAACCACAAAAUGGAGAAAAGGAAUGUGGUGAAGUAUUUUAGUGCAUUACGUUUUAAUUAGAAAAAACAAGAGAAUGCUGAGAAAAGCAAAACCUGAAUGUUUGGGAACAUCCUUUUUUUAUUUAAGAACCAACAGCUGAAGUGUUGAAAACUUACUACUGAGAUUAGAUACUUGAAGGACACUGUCACAGCACAUUCUCUGUAUCUUACUGUCUUUUGAUGGUAAAAAAUACUGUUUUUCAGUGUUAUUACAUUAUUACUGAUCAGGGUUUUUUUUGUUGGUUGGUUUUGAGUUGUGUUUUAUUUUCUUAAAGUAUUUCACCUCAUUGGUGACUGGGAAACAGUUCUGCAUUAUUCUGUGAACUUCUGUAUGCAGUAAGAAUUCGGUCCUUAAGGUGUAAUUUUCAAGUGUUCUGAUAAAAUACCUAUCAUAUGUAAAGGAAAUGAAACUAAAAUGCUGUGCAGGUCACACCUCAGAGGUGUUAAAAAACUGUUAAAAAUAACAUUUUUAUUUUGAAGUGUUGUUGACUACACUGUGUAAUAAACAUUCAGCUCCAUUGCACGGGCAACGUAUUCUGCCAGUUAAUCACACACAUAAGCAGUUGUUUCUUGAAUGGGUGUGCCUGUUUCUUGUGUGUGAUAUACAAAACACAGAAGAUGUGAAUGAGGCAAGCAUGCUGAAAAUUAAAUUCGCUUGCUGUGACUGUAACUGCUUCUGCUAGCUCUUCUCCCCGUGCAAGGUGAAUGGUGAGACUCCUUGCUUCCUAACACAAGAAAUGCAAAUAGAUGGCUUUUGUCAAAGACGGAACUAUAAAACUAACCCUAGAAAAGAGUUACUCAUGAGUAACAAUUUGUUGACAAGUUGUGGUUUGCCUGAACAAGUACAAUACCUUAUUCUGUAACAGACAGUAAUUCUUGAGGACCAAUUACUUUUUCCAUUAAUCAUUCUGCUAAUGGGCAGCCACCUUCCUGCUGAACUGUUGAAAAAUACUACUCUGGUAAAAAUCAGGUAUUUCUGAGACCUUUAAGAUGUAAACUGUAGUCAUGUCUAUCAUCCAGAGGGAGCUGCAGAGUCUUAGGCUGGACCCUCCGGGAUUAGUUUAGCAAUGGCAAAUAAGGCCAUCACUUAGGAAUGAGUUCUGCAAGGACACAGAUCAGUGCCAAGGCACUUCUGAAAAGCAGUGAGAUUGUGUUCUUCCAAAGGUGUAACACUUGCACCUCUUUUUAGAAGCUGAUUUUCUGACUGCUUAGAAUUUGUUGCAACACCAUAAUGACAAUAAAACUUAUAACUGUUCUUUGGUUUUCAGCAAACUUCAAGUUUGGACAUGCAUAUAUUCAAAUCCUGUAUUUAUAGCACAGAAGAAUAAUACUGCUUUCAGUGUGUAGUCAUAUCACCAUCUAAGAACUUCGCUGAUCCCUCCCUUAGUUGUUCAUACCUAUUUCUGCAAACUAACAAGUUCUCUGAAAUUUAUCCAGAAAAGUUCAAAGUUUACAAGGCAUGAACAAGAUAAACCAUUAAGGCUGCAGAUAUGGUAUGCGAGAUAUGAAUGCCAUAUGCAGCUACCACCUACAAAAAUACUUGCUGUCCAAAGGUUUUUAUUUUAGAUCAUACAUAAAAAUUGGCCUUAACAAAUACAAGUAGUGGCCUGCUGUAAUAAAACAUACAAAGUAUGUAGAACUAAGAAUAUAUUAGAUGCACUACUUUCACUGCAGUCUAAAAUAAAAUCUUUAUUUUACGUAGAUUGCUUAUGUUCUUCUAAAAGCAGAGGACCAGAAGUUUUUAAAAUAAGACUGCCAUCCUCACUCAGAAGUAUUUCACAAAGUUGUAUUUUCAGCCUUUAUAAAAGUUACAAACACUACUUGUGAGAACUUACUCCUAAGUAUAUCAUAUUAAAAACAUUUUGAUUUUAUAUGAUCCAACAGUGUAACAUGCAUUUAAGUUUAAAACCCACUUUUUGAAAAAUGUGUUGCAAUUAAUCCAAAAGGUGAUUUACAACUCAAUUAUUCUGUGUUUGUGGGGUUUUUGUCUUUUGUUUGUUCGUUUGUUUUGGGGGUUUCUUUUGUUUGUCUUUUGUUUUGUUUGUUUAACAAGUCAGUUUCUAAAAUACUAACUUCACAGAUUUUAACUUGAAUCAGAUUUAAGUUGCCCACACAGCAGCUACUCUAUUUAUUCAGGGCUGACAUGUGAUGAUGCAUUACCAGUUGUGUUGUACUUUGGAAAAAAGCUGUAAAGAUCCCUGCAUUCUGCAGAAAGCCAAGCCAGCUGACGCUUGUAGAUUACCAGGAUCAGGAGUCCGACAGUCUUGAAAAGAAAUCUACUGCAUCUUCUGAUAAAGUUAACUCUGUAUUUAAAAAUGUACUAUAUGAAAUAUUCUACAUAAUAUGUAUGUAAAAACAUGCCAGGCACUUGGUUAGAAUGGACUAUCGUCCAAUAAAACAGCUGUCCCUUUGUGUUUUUCCAGA
This is a long non-coding RNA of Corvus hawaiiensis (hawaiian crow), 9238 nucleotides long. RefSeq lists it as uncharacterized. Lineage: Eukaryota; Metazoa; Chordata; Aves; Passeriformes; Corvidae. The record is from RefSeq and is a predicted model, not a curated record. The transcript is spliced from 2 exons.